GACAAACACAUGUUGAUUCUCCAGGCAGGCUUUUUCAUGUUUUGCCACUUUGCUCGCCUCUGCCUUGAGCACCGCUUGCCCUACGACAAAGCCCUUGUCCUUGAGCCCGACAAGGGGGGAGACUCCAGUUAGGUCUACACAAGCGUAUUUCCCCUCUUCCCAUCCAAACACAAAGAUGUCUGCCGGGCGUAAAGCAGAACUCCCUCUAGGGGUCAGUCAGGAAAUAACUUGCAUGUUAAGUUGUUGACUUGUAUUUUGAUAUGAGUGCACUUAAGUGGAAGCUUCAUUCUGUUUUGAGUGCACUUCAAUGGAAGCUUCAUUUUCCACCUGCAAGAAGAACCCUAGCCCAUUGCAUAUACAUGCUACUGGGUACUAUUACCCUCACUUGAUCUCCUAUUUUCUUAAUUUAUACAUCCAUCAUACCUUUAUUUUCAUCUUCAAUUAGGGUUAUAUUCCAAAACAAUACACAAAAUCUUGUUAGGGCUUCAUAUAUAAACUUGUGUGUGUAAGUAUCAAUGUCUGUUGUAGCUGAGACUGCUUUACAGUUUGGAAUCAAUGAGUUACUGAAAGUAGUUUUAGGGCAAACUAUACAAACUGCCAGAAUCAAAACCCUAGUUAAAGGCCUUGAAAAAACUCUAAAGGUUAUCUAGCCGAUGUUGCGUGAAAGCUCGAGGUUGAGCAGGGUGUUGGAUCGUCCCGAAAACGAGACAAAAAUAUUCAUUUUCCAUCUAGAAAGAGGGAAAGAGCUUGUUGUUAAGUGCUCAAGGAUUAAAUUCUGGAAUGUGUACCAAAAGUUUGUUUAUUCGAAUAAGAUUAUUCGGCUUAACAAUGAGCUGUUGAUGUUUUUUAAGAUAGAUUUGCCGGCGAUAAUGAUGAGCACUGGCAUGACGAGUUUGGUUGGGAUUUAUGAUUUAGCAGACAAAAUGGAUCAAGUACUUUCUGUUGCUACUCAUUUGCGUGCAAAUCGUGGUUUGCGUGGAGUUCCAGAGGUUCGGGAGCAUAUUGUUGGGUUUAAUUGGCAUCUUGUCAAGUUGAAGCUUAGGCUGCGCGAAAAUGGCACGCGAGUGUUGGUGGUUUCAGGUCCUGCAGGCUGUGGGAAGACCACUUUGGUCAAGCUGCUCUGCCAUGACAAUCAAAUAAAAGAUAUAUUUGGUGAGCAUAUCAUAUAUGUUACAGUCUCUAGAUUAUCAAGUCUUCAAAUCAUUAUCCAGCAAAUAUUUAAACAUAUUUCUAAGCGAUGAAGACGCCAGGAAUCAACUUGAAAACCUUGUGAAGCGAAUGAAAUCAAAUAACAUGCUACUCGUCCUGGAUGAUGUGUGGUCUGAAUCUGAGUCCAUUAUUCAGGAUCUUAUGUUUCAAAUACCAGGAUACAAAGUUUUGGUCACGUCAAGAUUCUUGUUUCCAAGGUUUGAUUCUACAUAUGAGUUGGGCUUGUUGAAUAAUGAAGAUGCAAAAACUCUUCUUUGCUACUCUGCAUUUCCACGUGAUGGAAUUCCCAUUAACGUGACAGAUGAUCUCGUGAACAAGAUUGUUAAUUUCUGCAAGGGACUUCCAUUGGCUCUAACUGUAGCGGGUGCUUCACUAUGCGGACAACCUGCGUUCAAAUGGAAAACAACUCUCAAGAAAUGGUCGGAAAGUGGAUCCAUGUUGCAGUCAAACAGCAACAUACUUCAUAGUCUGAAGUCAAGUGUCGACGCACUGGAUGAGUUGCCUAAUGUUAAAGAAUGUUUCUUGGAUUUGGGCUCAUUUCCUGAAGAUGAACGGAUUUCAGCCACGGUUCUUAUGGAUAUGUGGGUGGUAUUGUACAAUCUUGAUGAUGAGGGAACGUCCACUAGUGAAAAUCUUCUUGAACUCUCAUUAAGAAAUCUCAUCAAUCUUUCUUCAGUAAGGAAAAAAAAAAUGCUGGUGAAGUAGACGGCUAUUGUAAUGAGCUUUACGUUACACAACAUGAUUUGCUAAGAGAACUAGCCAUCCACCUGCUGAGCACUCAAGAAUUGAACCUGUUGCAGAAAGAAAACGUUUUUUCAUAGACGUCCAUAGGAAUGAGUUUCCCACAUGGUGGAUUGCACAAACCGAACAACCCAUCAAUGCCCGUAUCUUAUCUAUUUCAACAGAUGCAGCAUUUUGCUCAAUCUGGUAUUAUGAUCUACAUGCACCUAAAGUUGAAGUAUUGACACUAAAUAUAAGGAGUAAAGAUUACACGCUAGCCGAGUUCAUCAAAAGAAUGGGACAACUGAAGGUUUUAACUAUUGAUUAUCCUUGUCAGCUACACAGUCUUUCCCUCAUGGAGUGUUUAUCCAACCUAAGAACAAUCAGAUUCCAACACGUUUCGAUUUCCUCUAUUCAACUCAUCUUUGCAUUAAGGAAUACAAGGAAACUUUCAUUUGUUAUGUGUGAGAUAGGUAAUGCUUUGAUGACUUGUUCCACUGAGCUUCCUUACAUACUAUCAAAUCUCACGGAUCUUGAAAUCGAUAUGUGUUAUGAUCUGAAAGAAGUACCAUCAGGACUAUGUAAUCUUGUUCAUCUACAGAAACUCAGCAUCACCAAUUGCCAAGAGCUUCAUGUUCUCCCAAAAGGAUUAGGGAGUUUAUCAGAUCUUCAAUUCUUGAGUCUUCAUUGCUGCACGAAGCUGCAAGAGUUACCACAAUCUAUUGGAAGCUUGUGCAGUCUAAGUAUCAUUGAUAUAUCUGAUUGUUUGAGUAUAAGUGAUCUGCCUGAAGAACUUGGUGAACUAUGUGGCCUGAAAGUGCUUAAGAUGAGCAAGUUGUUGAUGUGAUAUGCGACGAGGAGGCAUUGUACUUGUGGAUGGAGCUGAAAAGCAUUAUUCGUAAUUUGAAGAUGACAGGUUUGAAAGUUUUAUGAAGAUCGUUCGGUAAGUGUUAUUGAUCCUGCAUUUGUCAUUGAUUUUGUGAAGCAUUUUAGUUAGAUAUAUUGUUUGCAUAUUAUGUAAUUAUCUGAAAGAAAAUUGUAUGUUAUGUACAUGAUUUUGAUAAUAGUUAUUUUAUUAGAGAAUCCAUGAUUAUUGGA
RNA transcript from Helianthus annuus (common sunflower), 3027 nucleotides. It is a transcript of the gene named probable disease resistance protein At5g66900, with no coding region annotated. The transcript has 6 exons. The record is from RefSeq and is a predicted model, not a curated record. Lineage: Eukaryota; Viridiplantae; Streptophyta; Magnoliopsida; Asterales; Asteraceae.